UGAAACUUCUUGAAAAUCAAUGUUCCGUUGCAAUCUGUUGGAGAUUCUGAGAUGCUGGUACCGUAGGUUUGGAUUCCGGUAUUUGCUCAUUGUAAUUAAGGUUGUUAUUGAACCACCGGAGCUUCGGGAAGUGCCGGAGCUGCCGCCUGAUCGGUUCAGAGAGUCACUGCUGCUUUGUUUCUCGUGAAAAGUGUUGUUGCCGCGAUUCUUGAUGCCGCUGUUGAUAUUGUCUGAAAAUAAACAAGGUUGCUGCCGCUGCUGUAAAAUUGAAAAUAAACAAAAGAGGAAUUGAUGAGUCUAACUACUGAGCUUUGACUAAAUCGAGGUAGGGGUUUUUCUUAAAAUCUAAUUUACAUUACAGAGUUGUGAUAAAUAGAUAUUGAUGCAAAGAGAUAUAUUUCUGUGAUUACAUUUGUCUUAUGGAUGUGAUGGUUUGUUGGACUGAAUUAUUGGGUGUUUGAUUGCUUGAGUGAAGUACGGUUGUUGAUAAGAAAUGGAUUUGGAAAGUUAUUUACUUG
Non-coding RNA from Arachis ipaensis, 518 nucleotides. Lineage: Eukaryota; Viridiplantae; Streptophyta; Magnoliopsida; Fabales; Fabaceae. The record is from RefSeq and is a predicted model, not a curated record.